AUACAGCUGAUGAGUCCCAAAUAGGACGAAACGCGCAUCCUGGAU
Schistosoma mansoni is the source of this 45-nucleotide non-coding RNA. The record is from Rfam. Lineage: Eukaryota; Metazoa; Platyhelminthes; Trematoda; Strigeidida; Schistosomatidae.